Homo sapiens (human) is the source of this 648-nucleotide long non-coding RNA. NCBI's taxonomy places the organism in Eukaryota, Metazoa, Chordata, Mammalia, Primates, Hominidae. The record is from Ensembl.
UGUAAGGACAGAUAGCAGGGCCUGCCCUCUGGCCAGCAAUUUCUCUUCUUCUUUUUCCAUGUGGCUUGUCAGAGCACUACGUUCCUUAUGACAAACAAAAGGAAUCCACAGAAACUUGGUAAAAGAAGCAGAGAAGACACUACUCCAUAUGUGUAAAAUGUGGAGCCCCAUGACCUCCUCUGCCUCAUUGCCUGCUCUGCCUCUCAAAGAGCUUCAGCAAAACACAGAAGCACAGCAGUGGCACGUGGAUGGAUACCUUUAUAAAAGAGAACCACAAUCUUCUGAAAGGCUUUCAUGAAAUGGAUGUUGUCGUAGCAGUAUUCCUGAACCUUCUGGAGGAGGAUCAGCUCUGACUGGCCUUGGGAGCUGAACACGGCCAGCAGGGGAGCAUAUUGCUAGAACAGAAGUGGAGAGUAAAAGCCGUCACUUGCGUGGGAGAAAUGCCAGCAGUGACUUGAGCAGCCUUCAAAAGCAGAAGGAGCCGGGCAGUCCCAGUCCCUGUGCUGGCUGGAGGAAGCCACAUAAAAGUGUGACAUCCUGGCAUCUACAAGCAUCACAAGGCUUUUUAUGUUUGCUUCUUUUCCCCAUGGAAAAUAAUGUACAAAUUCUUGCUUGGAGAAAUAUGAUUAAAUAUACUGCUAUCCUUAA